Molecule: long non-coding RNA, 1582 nt
Organism: Aquila chrysaetos chrysaetos
Lineage: Eukaryota; Metazoa; Chordata; Aves; Accipitriformes; Accipitridae
Exons: 5
Source: RefSeq, a predicted model, not a curated record
CAUCCGGAAUGCUCGCCUGGAUUGACUUGUUUAAGGAGAGAUGGAGAAAAUAAAAAAGUGCUUAAUUCAAUUUCCUCAAUAAGAGGAGCUAAGAAAGAAGUCAGUCCAUACGCAGGAGGCGUGCUUGCUGGGGGGACAGGAAUUGAGUUGUCAUUGGGACGGUGUGGUAAUGAACUCUGAGAGCCUGUUUGCCUCCGAUUCCUCUAUUUUGCCAAUUAAGAAAUCAAACCUACAGAAGGAUGAUGCAAUGAAGGAAUACCACACUCUGGAAUACCAACAAGUAGGAGGAAGUUAGAGAGCCACACGCAGGGUCCUAAAAUGAAACAGGAAAAGGAACAUAGCUCUGGUUUUUAUGUCUCAGAUCAGUCUUUGGUCUUGAUCUAUUUUAAAUAAGAAUGAGAAGGCGAUAUGGCAGCCAUAUUUGAAGUAUGUAUGUAGAGUAGGAAGAUGAGGAUUUCUCAUGCCAGAUCGUGAAAAAAGAUAAUGAAGCAGAAUCAGACCUCUGCAGCACCACCAGGAGAUACAAAGCCAUAAAGCAGUGAUGCACACAAAGCAUGUUGUGAUUAGCAAGCUGGUCAUCUUGCCUAGCAGAAUCAGUCACAUCAAAUGGAGCAAGCCUCUGAAGGUUUUAUUGUCUAAGCUAGUGAUUGUGCAAAUACUUGACUUCAAAGAGUGUCUUCAUCCAUGGAAGGAGCACCAUGGAGGCAGUUACUAAGCAAACCUGUAAAGUCGUCAUUAUUAUAAAUCAUUUGUAGGAUCAAGACCAGCACUAUAUGAGUGGAAAGAAAAAAUGCCUAUUGGGUUAUUAUUUUUUAUUUCUAUACUCCUCCAGUAACAAUUUAUACAAGCUCAAAUAUACCAGGGAGCGGAGACUGAGUGGUAGUAACCAGUGGCUGUAGCUAUAUAGUUGUUAUUGCAUAAAGGUGCUUGAAUCUGCUAGGCAUGGAGGUCCCUUUCAGUAUCCUUAGCCUCAUUAACAGAAGCUGGGAUGGUAGCCAUCCCAUUAGAAAAAAUACUGUAUAGAACAGCAAAGACUUCAGAUUUAUUAAAUUGUCUUUUGAUUUAAUACAUGUUCACCUUGUUUUAAUAUCGUCAUUUGACAGAUGGAUUUUAUCUCUGGGAUCAUUUUCCCACCUAAACUGCCAUUCAAAGCAUGCAUUUCAUAUGUACUCUCAAAAGUCUCUUCUACAGUGGCAGGCAUUAGCAUCCAUGCUUACUACAGAAUUUACUAACCGCUUUCAGAUAUUGUGCAUUAUCGCCACAUCUCCUCUGUGUGCAUGUGUGUAGCUAUAUAUGCAUAUGUAUAUAUAUACACACACAUACACAUAUGUGUCUCCUAUAUGUAUAUAUAUUUGUGCAUCUCCUGUACUGGCUUUCAGAUGGUAACAUACGAGCAGAAACUAACUCUUUAAGAAGGCUGUACUCCUUGAAAAAUCUAACUGAAACCAAAUUAUCUGUAACACCAAUCCCUCUUCUAAUAUCAGAAUGCUUUCAUUUUUAUAUUUGUUAAUUCAUUGGUUGUUAGAUUAAUGUCCUGGUUUCAGCUGGAAUAGAGUUAACUGUCUUCCUAGUAGCUGGUACG